UCCCUGCUGGCUCAGACGGUAAAGCGUCUGCCUGCCAUGCAGGAGACCCGGGUUCGAUCCCUGGGUUGGGAA
Molecule: transfer RNA, 72 nt
Filed under: Bos taurus (domestic cattle)
Lineage: Eukaryota; Metazoa; Chordata; Mammalia; Artiodactyla; Bovidae
Also listed under: 2 other names
Rfam family: tRNA
About the family: Transfer RNA (tRNA) molecules are approximately 80 nucleotides in length. Their secondary structure includes four short double-helical elements and three loops (D, anti-codon, and T loops).
Source: Rfam by way of RNAcentral